Molecule: long non-coding RNA, 400 nt
Filed under: Salmo trutta (river trout)
Lineage: Eukaryota; Metazoa; Chordata; Actinopteri; Salmoniformes; Salmonidae
Description: lncRNA (ENSSTUG00000037435.1)
Source: RNAcentral
AUGGGGCAGAAAGGUACAGGUAGGAGGGGUAGAAUAGGUACAGGUAGCUGGGGCAGAAUAGGUACAGGUAGCUGGGGCAGAAUAGGUACAGGUAGCAGGGGCAGAAAAGGUACAGGUAGCAGGGGUUGUGGUGCAGGUAGCAGGGGUAGAAUAGGUACAGGUAGCAGGGGUUGUGGUGCAGGUAGAUGGGGUAGAAUAGGUACAGGUAGCAGGGGUUGUGGUGCAGGUAGCUGGGGUAGAAUAGGUACAGGUAGCUGGGGUAGAAUAGGUACAGGUAGCUGGGGUAGAAUAGGUACAGGUAGCUGGGGUAGAAUAGGUACAGGUAGCAGGGGUAGAAUAGGUACAGGUAGCAGGGGUAGAAUAGGUACAGGUAGAAAGGGGUUGUGGUGCAGGUAGCAGG